This 1542-nucleotide ribosomal RNA is filed under the name Escherichia coli O104:H4. RNAcentral describes it as "bacterial SSU rRNA". It matches the Rfam family "Bacterial small subunit ribosomal RNA". Lineage: Bacteria; Pseudomonadati; Pseudomonadota; Gammaproteobacteria; Enterobacterales; Enterobacteriaceae. RNAcentral also lists the same sequence under 1 other name. The record is from RNAcentral.
AAAUUGAAGAGUUUGAUCAUGGCUCAGAUUGAACGCUGGCGGCAGGCCUAACACAUGCAAGUCGAACGGUAACAGGAAACAGCUUGCUGUUUCGCUGACGAGUGGCGGACGGGUGAGUAAUGUCUGGGAAACUGCCUGAUGGAGGGGGAUAACUACUGGAAACGGUAGCUAAUACCGCAUAACGUCGCAAGACCAAAGAGGGGGACCUUCGGGCCUCUUGCCAUCGGAUGUGCCCAGAUGGGAUUAGCUUGUUGGUGGGGUAACGGCUCACCAAGGCGACGAUCCCUAGCUGGUCUGAGAGGAUGACCAGCCACACUGGAACUGAGACACGGUCCAGACUCCUACGGGAGGCAGCAGUGGGGAAUAUUGCACAAUGGGCGCAAGCCUGAUGCAGCCAUGCCGCGUGUAUGAAGAAGGCCUUCGGGUUGUAAAGUACUUUCAGCGGGGAGGAAGGGAGUAAAGUUAAUACCUUUGCUCAUUGACGUUACCCGCAGAAGAAGCACCGGCUAACUCCGUGCCAGCAGCCGCGGUAAUACGGAGGGUGCAAGCGUUAAUCGGAAUUACUGGGCGUAAAGCGCACGCAGGCGGUUUGUUAAGUCAGAUGUGAAAUCCCCGGGCUCAACCUGGGAACUGCAUCUGAUACUGGCAAGCUUGAGUCUCGUAGAGGGGGGUAGAAUUCCAGGUGUAGCGGUGAAAUGCGUAGAGAUCUGGAGGAAUACCGGUGGCGAAGGCGGCCCCCUGGACGAAGACUGACGCUCAGGUGCGAAAGCGUGGGGAGCAAACAGGAUUAGAUACCCUGGUAGUCCACGCCGUAAACGAUGUCGACUUGGAGGUUGUGCCCUUGAGGCGUGGCUUCCGGAGCUAACGCGUUAAGUCGACCGCCUGGGGAGUACGGCCGCAAGGUUAAAACUCAAAUGAAUUGACGGGGGCCCGCACAAGCGGUGGAGCAUGUGGUUUAAUUCGAUGCAACGCGAAGAACCUUACCUGGUCUUGACAUCCACGGAAGUUUUCAGAGAUGAGAAUGUGCCUUCGGGAACCGUGAGACAGGUGCUGCAUGGCUGUCGUCAGCUCGUGUUGUGAAAUGUUGGGUUAAGUCCCGCAACGAGCGCAACCCUUAUCCUUUGUUGCCAGCGGUCCGGCCGGGAACUCAAAGGAGACUGCCAGUGAUAAACUGGAGGAAGGUGGGGAUGACGUCAAGUCAUCAUGGCCCUUACGACCAGGGCUACACACGUGCUACAAUGGCGCAUACAAAGAGAAGCGACCUCGCGAGAGCAAGCGGACCUCAUAAAGUGCGUCGUAGUCCGGAUUGGAGUCUGCAACUCGACUCCAUGAAGUCGGAAUCGCUAGUAAUCGUGGAUCAGAAUGCCACGGUGAAUACGUUCCCGGGCCUUGUACACACCGCCCGUCACACCAUGGGAGUGGGUUGCAAAAGAAGUAGGUAGCUUAACCUUCGGGAGGGCGCUUACCACUUUGUGAUUCAUGACUGGGGUGAAGUCGUAACAAGGUAACCGUAGGGGAACCUGCAGUUGGAUCACCUCCUUA